RNAcentral lists this non-coding RNA (886 nucleotides) under Clostridium magnum DSM 2767. Its description in RNAcentral is "Archaeal small subunit ribosomal RNA". It matches the Rfam family "Bacterial small subunit ribosomal RNA", at positions 594 to 1325 of the family's 1533-position model. The record is from Rfam by way of RNAcentral. Lineage: Bacteria; Bacillati; Bacillota; Clostridia; Eubacteriales; Clostridiaceae.
UUUAAAGCCCUUUUUACUUUAUACAUAUCUUCAUUAUCUGGCAAAACCUUAAAUAUUUUAUCUAUAUAAUUUUUUUCUUUAAUAAUUCUUAUGCUUAUACUGUAGUUAAGAUCAAGUCGGGUGUAUCACCAGAGGAGAAUGGAAUUCCUAGUGUAGCGGUGAAAUGCGUAGAGAUUAGGAAGAACACCAGUGGCGAAGGCGAUUCUCUGGACCAUAACUGACGCUGAGGCAUGAAAGCGUUGGUAGCAAACAGGAUUAGAUACCCUGGUAGUCCACGCCGUAAACGAUGAGUACUAGGUGUAGGAGGGUCCAACCUUCUGUGCCGCAGUUAACACAAUAAGUACUCCGCCUGGGAAGUACGAUCGCAAGAUUAAAACUCAAAGGAAUUGACGGGGGCCCGCACAAGCAGCGGAGCAUGUGGUUUAAUUCGAAGCAACGCGAAGAACCUUACCUGGACUUGACAUCCCCUGAAUAGUGCAGAGAUGCAUGAAGCCCUUCAGGGCAGGGAGACAGGUGGUGCAUGGUUGUCGUCAGCUCGUGUCGUGAGAUGUUAGGUUAAGUCCUGCAACGAGCGCAACUCCUAUCAUUAGUUGCUACCAUUAAGUUGAGCACUCUAGUGAGAUUGCCCGGGUUAACCGGGAGGAAGGUGGGGAUGACGUCAAAUCAUCUAAGUAGCGGCGAGCGAAAGGGAAAGAGCCCAAACCAGGAACUUGUUCCUGGGGUUGCGGAUAGACCAUAAAUACUGCGAUUUUUUAACUGAAGAGAGCUGGAAGGCUCCGCCGUAGAAGGUAAAAGCCCUGUAAGUGAAAAGGAAGAGCAGUCAGGUCUAAUCCAGAGUAUCACGAGACACGUGAAACCUUGUGGGAAGCAGGGAGGACCACCUCCC